AUUGAACGCUGGCGGUAGGCCUAACACAUGCAAGUCGAACGGCAGCACAGUAAGAGCUUGCUCUUACGGGUGGCGAGUGGCGGACGGGUGAGGAAUACAUCGGAAUCUACUUUUUCGUGGGUGAUAACGUAGGGAAACUUACGCUAAUACCGCAUAGGACCUACGGGUGAAAGCAGGGGAUCUUCGGACCUUGCGCGAUUGAAUGAGCCGAUGUCGGAUUAGCUAGUUGGCGGGGUAAAGGCCCACCAAGGCGACGAUCCGUAGCUGGUCUGAGAGGAUGAUCAGCCACACUGGAACUGAGACACGGUCCAGACUCCUACGGGAGGCAGCAGUGGGGAAUAUUGGACAAUGGGCGCAAGCCUGAUCCAGCCAUACCGCGUGGGUGAAGAAGGCCUUCGGGUUGUAAAGCCCUUUUGUUGGGAAAGAAAAGCAGCAGGUUAAUACCCCGCUGUUCUGACGGUACCCAAAGAAUAAGCACCGGCUAACUUCGUG
Molecule: ribosomal RNA, 492 nt
Filed under: uncultured bacterium
Lineage: Bacteria
Description: partial 16S ribosomal RNA
Rfam family: Bacterial small subunit ribosomal RNA
Source: RNAcentral